GGAGUUAGCCGGUGCUUCUUCUGCGAGUAACGUCACAGAUGUAAGGUAUUAACUUACACCCUUUCCUCCUCGCUGAAAGUGCUUUACAACCCGAAGGCCUUCUUCACACACGCGGCAUGGCUGCAUCAGGGUUUCCCCCAUUGUGCAAUAUUCCCCCACUGCUGCCUCCCGUAGGAGUCUGGGCCGUGUCUCAGUCCCAGUGUGGCUGAUCAUCCUCUCAGACCAGCUAGGGAUCGUCGCCUAGGUGAGCCUUUACCUCACCCUACUAGCUAAUCCCACCUGGGCUUAUCCAUCAGCGCAAGGCCCGAAAGGUCCCCUGCUUUACCCCCGUAGGGCGUAUGCGGUAUUAGCAGUCGUUUCCAACUGUUAUCCCCCACAAAUGGGCAAAUUCCCAGGCAUUACUCACCCGUCCGCCGCUCGUCAUCUUCAAAAGCAAGCUUUUGAAAUGUUACCGCUCGACUUGCAUGUGUUAGGCCUGCCGCCAGCGUUCAAUCUAAGCCAGGAUCAAACUCUGA
RNAcentral lists this ribosomal RNA (515 nucleotides) under uncultured bacterium. RNAcentral describes it as "partial 16S ribosomal RNA". The record is from RNAcentral.